Molecule: ribosomal RNA, 1420 nt
Filed under: Halomonas sp. ljh-35
Lineage: Bacteria; Pseudomonadati; Pseudomonadota; Gammaproteobacteria; Oceanospirillales; Halomonadaceae
Description: bacterial SSU rRNA
Rfam family: Bacterial small subunit ribosomal RNA
Source: RNAcentral
AGGGGGCGGGGCUACCAUGCAGUCGAGCGGAAACGAUGGGAGCUUGCUCCCAGGCGUCGAGCGGCGGACGGGUGAGUAAUGCAUAGGAAUCUGCCCGAUAGUGGGGGAUAACCUGGGGAAACCCAGGCUAAUACCGCAUACGUCCUACGGGAGAAAGCAGGGGCUCUUCGGACCUUGCGCUAUCGGAUGAGCCUAUGUCGGAUUAGCUGGUUGGUGAGGUAAUGGCUCACCAAGGCGACGAUCCGUAGCUGGUCUGAGAGGAUGAUCAGCCACAUCGGGACUGAGACACGGCCCGAACUCCUACGGGAGGCAGCAGUGGGGAAUAUUGGACAAUGGGCGAAAGCCUGAUCCAGCCAUGCCGCGUGUGUGAAGAAGGCCCUCGGGUUGUAAAGCACUUUCAGUGGGGAAGAAAGCCUUGGGGCUAAUACCCUCGAGGAAGGACAUCACCCACAGAAGAAGCACCGGCUAACUCCGUGCCAGCAGCCGCGGUAAUACGGAGGGUGCGAGCGUUAAUCGGAAUUACUGGGCGUAAAGCGCGCGUAGGUGGCUUGAUAAGCCGGUUGUGAAAGCCCCGGGCUCAACCUGGGAACGGCAUCCGGAACUGUCAGGCUAGAGUGCAGGAGAGGAAGGUAGAAUUCCCGGUGUAGCGGUGAAAUGCGUAGAGAUCGGGAGGAAUACCAGUGGCGAAGGCGGCCUUCUGGACUGACACUGACACUGAGGUGCGAAAGCGUGGGUAGCAAACAGGAUUAGAUACCCUGGUAGUCCACGCCGUAAACGAUGUCGACUAGCCGUUGGGAGCCUCGAGUUCUUAGUGGCGCAGUUAACGCGAUAAGUCGACCGCCUGGGGAGUACGGCCGCAAGGUUAAAACUCAAAUGAAUUGACGGGGGCCCGCACAAGCGGUGGAGCAUGUGGUUUAAUUCGAUGCAACGCGAAGAACCUUACCUACCCUUGACAUCGUGCGAACUUGGUAGAGAUACCUUGGUGCCUUCGGGAACGCACAGACAGGUGCUGCAUGGCUGUCGUCAGCUCGUGUUGUGAAAUGUUGGGUUAAGUCCCGUAACGAGCGCAACCCUUGUCCCUAUUUGCCAGCGAUUCGGUCGGGAACUCUAGGGAGACUGCCGGUGACAAACCGGAGGAAGGUGGGGACGACGUCAAGUCAUCAUGGCCCUUACGGGUAGGGCUACACACGUGCUACAAUGGUCGGUACAAAGGGUUGCAAAGCGGCGACGUGGAGCUAAUCCCAGAAAGCUGAUCUCAGUCCGGAUCGGAGUCUGCAACUCGACUCCGUGAAGUCGGAAUCGCUAGUAAUCGUGAAUCAGAAUGUCACGGUGAAUACGUUCCCGGGCCUUGUACACACCGCCCGUCACACCAUGGGAGUGGACUGCACCAGAAGUGGUUAGCCUAACUUCGGAGGGCGGU